Molecule: long non-coding RNA, 1647 nt
Organism: Lemur catta (Ring-tailed lemur)
Lineage: Eukaryota; Metazoa; Chordata; Mammalia; Primates; Lemuridae
Exons: 2
Source: RefSeq, a predicted model, not a curated record
CUCAACCAAUCCUCCCACCUCGACCUCCCAGAGUGCUAGAAGGUUUGAGCUGUGCUGGGCCUGAUAUCCCAUUCCUCAGGGAGAAAUGUUCCCACCAUGGGACACCACGAGGGGCCUGUGAUUUGGAAAUUGAAGUUGACCCCUCACUGUUCUGAGCUCUUCCUCCAAUGGAUGACAUCAUCCCAGUCAGGGCUGCCAACCCUGCUCACCAAGGAAACAGGCUUGUGCCACACCGUGGGGAAGGGACAAAGACCUCUGGGACCUCUUAUUCCUUCCACGUCCAAGAGAAAAAGUGAAUGGAAAGCCACAGCCCUUGGAAAGAGACAAGGUUGCUGAAGUCCAGACCCUUGAGUGAAGGCUUUGUUCUCUGGCCAGGAAAGAGCCCCCUCCCUGCCGGAAAACACUUAGGAAUGGACGGUGCACCAAGGAAGUUGUUGCUGCACUCAGCAUUGUGUGACAUCCUAGAAAUGAGGGCUCCGGCUGUGUGUCCGGGGGCUCAGGCUGCUGUAACGGAUACCACGGACCCGGCAGCUUAAACAGCAGAAAUGUGUUUCUCGCAGUCCUGGAGGCUGGAGUCCUAGAUCAAGGUGUCAGCAGAGUUCGUUUCUUCUGAGGCCUCUCUUCCUUGGCGUGUGGAUGGCGUCUUCUCCCUGUCCUCAUAUGGCCAUGCCUCUGUGGGUGGCUGUGUCCUCAUCUCCUCUUCCUGUAAGGACACCAGGUACAUAGGAUUAGGGCCCACCUAAUGACUUCAUUUUACCUGAAUCACCUCUUUAUAGAUCCCAUCUCCAAACACAGUCACAUUCUGAGGUGCAGGGGCCGAGGGGGUGGUUAGGGCUUCAACAUACAGAUCUGGGGAGGCACCGCCCAGCCACACCAAGCGGCCAUGAACUUUCUUCAGUGCCAUGUUUUUAUAUGUUACUUAUUUCCUUCUAUCACUCUUCCUCUACCUUGUUAUUUUAUAUAAGAGUUGAUGUUGGAAAUUGACAAAUUUAGUCUUCAUGUUACAAAAUAUUCAAACAGGACUGGCUGACUUUUGAGAGUACACCCUUUCACCAAGAGAUGGACACUGUAUUGAUCAGGGUUUGGUGGGCAAAGGAAGGUCACUUGCUUUCUAUGUAUUGUGGGAAAAGGGGCUGAAUAUAGACUUGGGGGGCUGCAUGGCUGCUGGAAGAGGCGGCAGCGUGGAUGUUGGGGAAGCUGCCUCCGCAGUAAGAGGACCAGACAGUGGACAACCAGUCUGAAGCACCCGACAGGAGGUCGCAAACGUUUUCCUGGCAGGGGUUGGCCAGGGGGUCAUGGGAUGGAGAGGGAUGAAUGGGAGGAGCACAGGGGACUUUUAGGGCACUGAAACUAUCCUGUGACAUCAUAAUGGUGGACACAUGACGUUACGCGUUUGUCAAACCCGUAGACUACGUAACACAAAGAGUGAGCCCUAACGUAAACUAUAAACUUGGGUUAAAAACAAUGUGACAAUAUUGGUUCAUUGGUUAGAACAAAUAAUACACAUUAAUACAAGAUAUUAAUAAUAGGAGGAAACUGUGAGAAGGCAAGGGAUAAGCGGGGAGUCUUGUAGUAUCGUCUCAAUUCCCUGUAAAGCUAGCACUGUUUUUAAAGAUAGAGUCUAUUAAUAAAAGAUAAAUAAAUAAA